Long non-coding RNA from Heterocephalus glaber (naked mole-rat), 1443 nucleotides. Lineage: Eukaryota; Metazoa; Chordata; Mammalia; Rodentia; Bathyergidae. The record is from Ensembl.
CUGCUCUGCAGACUGCUCCGUGCCGGCCCCAGCCUCGGAAACUCUCCAAGGAGCUGCCGACGCAGUGAUGAGCCAGCUCGGGCUUGGAACCCAACCGGGCUAUUUUUAAAAGCUGUCUCCCAAAGCGACGCUGUGACACAGAGCAAGCUGCGUGCAGAGGAGACGCGGCCCAGCCUGUGAGGAUCUCCAGACCUCACGUCAGCUGAGGUCGGGAAUACCAAAGGAGGAAGACAGGCUUCUGAGAGGUCAAGAUUUACUGGACUGUAUACAAUUCAAAAAUUUGUACCUAUUCAGGUUUGGGAACAGUAUUAACCUAGGAAUGCUUAAGCAGAAGAAGUGUGGAAAACAAGCCUGAAAAUAUUCCCCUCUGAAGGACGAGAUCUUUGAACUGCUGUGCGAGUGUGUACCAGGAAUUUCAGAUGACUCGGACAAGCUGUGGUUGAUUGACGAUUGACUAUGAGAUACACGAUUAGGCCUCAUAGCUUCCAGAGGAUGUGCCCUUCCUUUCUGACAUCAGUGUCACGACUGUGGCCAGACCGAGAUUCUCCCACGCCGAGCACAGCAUGGGCACCAUUCUCCAGGACUUCACAAAGCCCCUUCCGGCCGGAUUCAUUCUCAGCCCCCGCCAACCUCCGGGCCCUGCUGUGAGAGGGCCCUUCCCUCUCUCCUCAAGCUUGCAUCGCGCAUGCUCUGGUGAAGCAUUGGAAGUGCCGGCUUUAGAGGCUGUUCUGUGGCGUCUGUUCUCUGGACAGCACCCUGAGAGUUACUUACCUCCAGUGAAAUCUGCCGGGAGGUAAACAUCUUAAUCCAUUCACAGUCCAUGCCACCAUAUUUCAGCCUCAGCACGGGGCCAAAAAUAAUGGAGCCAGCAGGCCAUGGACCGAAACCUCUGAAAUUGUGCACCAAAACAAAUACUUCUCCUUGUAAGUUGUUUACCUCAAGUAUUUUUUCCCAGCAGCAGAAAGCUGACCAAUCCAAUAGUUGUAGAUUGAGGCUCAUGGUGGGCUUGAGGGGUCCCCAGACAGCACCCCGAGCCUCCUUGAUUGUCUCUACCGGACCUGACAUGGCCAAGAGAGGAAAAGGUGCUGAACAGAAGAGAGACCUGUCCAGAACCACCCUGGGGUCCAAUAGUGUAGGGUAAGAAAUGUGAGUAGAGAAACGUGCAGCUUUGAGGUGCUGACUGCCUCUACAGGACAUUGCUGGCACGGGAUCUUGCCACCCUUUAGAUCCUCUGACCAUCCUUAAUUCUCCAGAGAAAUGACAGAAUUAUUUCAUAAACUCUAGUUGUACCGAGCAUGAUAACCUUUAUAGUGCUGCUAUGUCACAAAUAUCACUGGUUCAUGAGAUGAGCCUGGAUAUCAGUAGACCAUUCACCAUCCACCUUCCAUCUUCCAUCCAUCCGUCCAUCUUUCCAAGGUCUGUAGGAAUGGCCUAGCUCAAAAC